This 784-nucleotide ribosomal RNA is filed under the name uncultured bacterium. RNAcentral's name for it is "bacterial SSU rRNA". It matches the Rfam family "Bacterial small subunit ribosomal RNA", at positions 8 to 796 of the family's 1533-position model. The record is from RNAcentral.
AGAGUUUGAUCCUGGCUCAGAACGAACGUUGGCGGCGUGGAUUAGGCAUGCAAGUCGAACGAAUCCCAGCUGGGUAACUGGCUGGGGGAAGUGGCGAAAGGGGCAGUAAGGCGUGGGUAACCUACCCCGGGGACUGGGAUAGCCUUCCUAACGGAUGGGUAAUACCGGGCGAUCUGGCGAAGGGGCAUCUCUUUGCCAGGAAACGAGUUUCGCCUCGGGAGGGGCUCAUGUGGUAUUAGCUUGUUGGUGAGGUAACGGCUCACCAAGGCCAAGAUGCCUAGCGGGUGUGAGAGCACGACCCGCGCCACUGGCACUGAGACACUGGCCAGACCCCUACGGGAGGCUGCAGUCGAGAAUCUUCGGCAAUGGGCGCAAGCCUGACCGAGCGACGCCGCGUGUGCGAUGAAGGCCUUCGGGUUGUAAAGCACUGUCGAGGGGGAGAAAAGCCCGCAAGGGUUUGAUCGACCCCUGGAGGAAGCACGGGCUAAGUUCGUGCCAGCAGCCGCGGUAAGACGAACCGUGCGAACGUUGUUCGGAUUCACUGGGCUUAAAGGGCGCGUAGGCGGGCGGUCAAGUCAGGGGUGAAAUCUUUCAGCUCAACUGGAAAAGUGCCUUUGAUACUGAUCGUCUUGAGGGAGGUAGGGGCAUGUGGAACUUCCGGUGGAGCGGUGAAAUGCGUAGAUAUCGGAAGGAACGCCGGUGGCGAAAGCGACGUGCUGGACCUCUUCUGACGCUGAGGCGCGAAAGCUAGGGGAGCAAACGGGAUUAGAUACCCUAGUAGUCC